CCUACGGGUGGCAGCAGUGAGGAAUAUUGGUCAAUGGGCGCGAGCCUGAACCAGCCAAGUAGCGUGAUCGAGACGCCCUUCGCGGUGUAAAGAUCUGUCAGUGGGAACGAAACUUGACGGUACCCACAGAGGAAGCACCGGCUUAAUCGGUGCCAGCAGCCGCGGUAAUACGGGGGGUGCAAGCGUUGUCCGGAUUUAUUGGGCGUAAAGAGUUCGUAGGCGGCACGUAAAGUAUGGUGUUAAAGGCAGCGGCUCAACUUCUGUACGGCACUGGAUACUUGCGGGCUAGAGUGCGGUAGAGGUAGAGGGAAUUCCUGGUGUAGCGGUGAAAUGCUUAGAUAUCAGGAAGAACAUCGGUGGCGUAAGCGCUUUACUAAGCCGUAAUUGACGCUGAGGAACGAAAGCCAGGGUAGCAAAUGGGAUUAGAUACCCCGGUAGUC
Molecule: ribosomal RNA, 440 nt
Filed under: uncultured bacterium
Lineage: Bacteria
Description: partial 16S ribosomal RNA
Rfam family: Bacterial small subunit ribosomal RNA
Source: RNAcentral